Molecule: non-coding RNA, 23 nt
Filed under: Arabidopsis thaliana (thale cress)
Lineage: Eukaryota; Viridiplantae; Streptophyta; Magnoliopsida; Brassicales; Brassicaceae
Source: RNAcentral
UACUAGGAUGGGUGACCUCCUGG